Molecule: long non-coding RNA, 405 nt
Filed under: Medicago truncatula (barrel medic)
Lineage: Eukaryota; Viridiplantae; Streptophyta; Magnoliopsida; Fabales; Fabaceae
Description: lncRNA gene20939
Source: RNAcentral
AUGGAUAAAUCCAUUGAAAAGUCUUUUGAAUUUCCUUUGCUGAAAGAAAUAUUAUCUGUUGCAUUCUCUUUGUUCUUAAUGUCCUUUAUUUGGUUGCACACGUAGACAUAAGAAGACAAAAGAACUGCUCUAUCAGAUACUAUGAUAGAGACAACUCACAUAAUAAGAUAAAAGAUUAUGUAGAUUCUGGGUCCUUCAGAUUCAAGUAUGCCAGUCAGAUUUUGUUUCAGAUGUCCUUCACAUAAUCUGUUGAGAUCACUUUCCAGCUUCUGUGAGACAUUCUUCUUCUAAGGACAUUGACUUCUGGUUGACCUUCCUUUGAAUCUUCUACCACAAUCUUUUAAGCUUCCCAAUCCCAUUUUGAUGCUCUUCAUAUGUCCUUUCUUCAUGAUAGAUAGAUUCUGC